AAACUUACCUGGACGGGGUCGACGGGCAAUUAGGAAGGCUCGCGGCCUAGGUCAAUGGCUGCCAUUGCAUUGUGGUGGCGCGUUGGUUUACCAUCUUUCCAAGUGGGAGAGUGGAUGUCAUAAAUUGUGAUAGAGGGGGUAUGCUCUUGCGUGGUCCCCAC
Molecule: small nuclear RNA, 161 nt
Organism: Zingiber officinale
Lineage: Eukaryota; Viridiplantae; Streptophyta; Magnoliopsida; Zingiberales; Zingiberaceae
Product: U1 spliceosomal RNA
Exons: 1
Source: RefSeq, a predicted model, not a curated record